AUUGAACGCUGGCGGCAGGCUUAACACAUGCAAGUCGAACGGUAGCAGGAGAAAGGUUGCUUUCUUGCUGACGAGUGGCGGACGGGUGAGUAAUGCUUGGGAAUCUGGCUUAUGGAGGGGGAUAACGACGGGAAACUGUCGCUAAUACCGCGUAUUAUCGGAAGAUGAAAGUGCGGGACUGAGAGGCCGCAUGCCAUAGGAUGAGCCCAAGUGGGAUUAGGUAGUUGGUGGGGUAAAGGCCUACCAAGCCUGCGAUCUCUAGCUGGUCUGAGAGGAUGACCAGCCACACUGGAACUGAGACACGGUCCAGACUCCUACGGGAGGCAGCAGUGGGGAAUAUUGCGCAAUGGGGGGAACCCUGACGCAGCCAUGCCGCGUGAAUGAAGAAGGCCUUAGGGUUGUAAAGUUCUUUCGGUAUUGAGGAAGGUUGAUGUGUUAAUAGCACAUCAAAUUGACGUUAAAUACAGAAGAAGCACCGGCUAACUCCGUGCCAGCAGCCGCGGUAAUACGGAGGGUGCGAGCGUUAAUCGGAAUAACUGGGCGUAAAGGGCACGCAGGCGGUUAUUUAAGUGAGGUGUGAAAGCCCCGGGCUUAACCUGGGAAUUGCAUUUCAGGCUGGGUAACUAGAGUACUUUAGGGAGGGGUAGAAUUCCACGUGUAGCGGUGAAAUGCGUAGAGAUGUGGAGGAAUACCGAAGGCGAAGGCAGCCCCUUGGGAAUGUACUGACGCUCAUGUGCGAAAGCGUGGGGAGCAAACAGGAUUAUAUACCCUGGUAGUCCAAGGGCGAUUUCCACAUUGGGCUGCAGCCCGGGGGAUCCACUAGUUCUAGAGCGGCCGCACCGCGUGAGCUCCAAUUCGCCCUAUAGUGAGUCGUAUUACGCGCGCUCACUGGCCGCCGUUGUUCAAUUUC
Molecule: ribosomal RNA, 910 nt
Filed under: Haemophilus influenzae
Lineage: Bacteria; Pseudomonadati; Pseudomonadota; Gammaproteobacteria; Pasteurellales; Pasteurellaceae
Description: bacterial SSU rRNA
Rfam family: Bacterial small subunit ribosomal RNA
Source: RNAcentral